AUUCAAGAAAAUUUAAUUGUGAAUUCAUAGAUGUGGUCGUGAAUUCAAGAAAAAUGAAAACUUGAACAUAUACACAUUAUCAAAUCGAAGCAUCAAACGAUAAACCACAGAAACUAACUCACAUAUCAGUAUUUUUUUUUCAUUUCAAUUAUCCUUCUCAAAUGGUAAAAACUAAAAUCAGAAGGCGCAAUACAACUUUUUGUUGGAUUUCAUAUACUAACAGUAACAACUCCAACCUCAAUUCCAUCGACAAAAAUCAUCCAAAAACAAACAUCAUUUUCCCAGAUUCAAAUCAACUUCGUAAAUUUCGCAUCUCACUAAGUCACCAAUGGAGAAAUACGAGCAAUAUGAGCGGGUUUUCAACCACUUCGAUUCGGAAAUUAAGCCUCCACCGACGAAGAGGAACACAAAUAACAACCGCCUCCGCCGUCGAAGCUUAAACCACCGGCUAAGCUAGCUAUAUCUGUGGAAGAAAACGACAACGAUUUUCUACCCAAAUUCGCCCCCAAACGCGGCAGAUUCUUCAAUUCUCCCCCGCUGCCCAAAUCGUCUAUCAUCAAUUCAAUCCCACCGCCAAAAUCCCAAUCCUCCCCUAACCCUAAGCCCCAAUCGGGAGCGGAGCCCAAAUUCAGAAUUUGGGCGAGAGGUAAGGCGGAGGCGGUGGCUCAGCGCCAUGUCCGUCCGCCGGGAAGAGAGGGGUUUCACAGAGGCGAUGGUGGUGGACGUGUGUCGGCUGCUGCCAUCGGAGAGAGGAAGGCCGAUAUCUGGAGACCGAUGGCGGCAGAGAGCCGUUUUCGCCGGAAAUCGGAGAGAAAUAGGGGCAGUAGGGGUGUCGUGAGUAGAGGGAGGGUGGCGGCGUCUCCGCCGUCGCCGUGGAAGGAGGCGGCGCCGCGUGGGAUCGGCGUCGAUUUCCAGAUCUGAGGGAGUCGGGCGAGAGAGAGAGAGAGAGAGAAAUCAGCGCCGCCUGAGAUCCGACGGCGGCGUCAUGGACGAAGGCGUCGGCCGUUCACCGGAGUUCGGAAGAGCAACUGGACGCGGCCGAGGCGGCGCCGCUUGGAAAAGAGAAAUCCAGAGAGAGAGAGAGAAUAGAGUGAGAGAGUGAGAGAAAGAGUAGAGCGAGAGAGACGAGAGCAGAGAGUGAGAGAAAGAGUAGAAGU
RNAcentral lists this long non-coding RNA (1157 nucleotides) under Salvia miltiorrhiza (redroot sage). Its description in RNAcentral is "long non-coding RNA (SMIL_LNC009871)". The record is from RNAcentral. Lineage: Eukaryota; Viridiplantae; Streptophyta; Magnoliopsida; Lamiales; Lamiaceae.